GAGUGGUGUUUGGUUUGAUACGGGUGGUYGGCUCCCUGCUUGAGCAGGCACGACCANGNGUACAUUCCUUUUCAGUUAUGCGGCAAGGCUUGUAUCGUCUUGAUCGUAUAUGUGGGUUUCCUGUGUUGCAUACCUGAUCAACGGCAUUGUUUUGAUCAAAAACGUACCUYUUUCGUCMGGCGUUGCACCCGCAAUGUCGGAUGAACCAUACAGCAUCCUCUUUGAUCCAUAUAGUUGAUGAUUGUUCGUUGAUUGUUUGGCCCGUUGAGGGUGGCUUGGUCUCUUGGAUAUGGAAGCCAAAGUGGGCAUGGGUUCGUAUGAUCCUUUUAAUGCCCUCGUUGAGCGUUCUCGCUUCUCUUACACGACAGCCNUWCACGUAUGGCACGUCCCAGCGUGUUUGGCUACGUCGAAGAGGAAUGCUACCUGGUUGAUCCUGCCAGUAGUCAUAU
This 449-nucleotide unclassified non-coding RNA is filed under the name Olearia ramulosa. Its description in RNAcentral is "partial external transcribed spacer". Lineage: Eukaryota; Viridiplantae; Streptophyta; Magnoliopsida; Asterales; Asteraceae. The record is from RNAcentral.